AUGGAGGGCCUCAGUGAAAACGAUUUGUCCAAUGACAUAUCUCAGCCAACCAAAAACAAAUCUCAGAAGCCGCCACCACCUCAUAAACCACCUCGUAGACCAGUUAAAACUAAUGAUGCUAAAUCUUCAAAGGAAUUCAACACCAAUUCUUUUAUUUGUAAGUUUUGUAAAUCUAAUUUUUCUCUUAAAAGAAGCCGUAAUCGUCAUGAAGGUUAUUGCAGUGCCAAUGCCGAUAGACGUCCACCCACAUUUUCAUGUGCUCAUUGUAAUUCAUCGUUCAAUUUAAAACAAAAUUUAACCACUCAUUUGAAGACAUGUUCACCUGGAACUCCAGAAUCUCAACACCGGAGAAACAAAACCCCUUGUCUCGUAAAAGGUUGUCUCUUAAAAUUCUUCUUCAAAACCCAACUGAUUCAUCAUAUGUCUUCAGUUCAUAGAAAUGAAAUCACAGUCCGCCCCAAGGUAACCAAAACUUUUGCAUCUAUUGAUGAAUUUAAAGCGUGGAAGGAGAAGGAAGAAGAAAACACAUUUUCGUACUUUUCUGCACGAACAGGUCAGGCAUCAAAGUUGGUGAAACAUUACUAUUGCCAACAUGAUGGCCCACAGAAGUCGCACAAAAAGCUCCCACCAGUCUCAAGUAAAUGCCGCAACAAAGGAAGAAUAAAAGUAGGGCAUCAUUGUAUUGCAAAAAUUAAAGUUACAGUGUCUCAAAACAAAUCUGUUAUUGUAGAUUAUUACCCGACUCAUAGCCACGUUUGCAAACAAAAAGAUACUCUACAUCAUCCCCUACCAGCUGCAAUGUCUACAUACAUCAAUGAAAGACUCGCAGAAAAUAUACCACCAACAGUUGUCCAUCAGAUCACAAAAAAGCGCUUCUUCUCAAGAAAAAAUCUUGGUGUGCAUGACACAAAAGCUAGUAUACUUCAAAAAAAAUUAAUUUUAGAACGAGAACGAAGGAGGAGUAUGAAACGUCGGCUACAUCAGGACGAUACCGAAUCUGUUUUUCUGUUAGCCCGUGAAAUCAUGGCAAAAGAUAAUUCUCUUUUAAUUUAUAAGCCAAGUGGAAAGAAAGUUGUUCAUGGACCUGCUGGAAUUGAUGAGCUUUCUAAUUCUGAAGAUCUAUUUAUGUUUGCCUUUCAAACAGACAGACAGUUAGAUCUAAUGAAGAGAUAUGGCUCCAAAAUAUUAAUUGUUAAUGAGACUCAUGGGACCAAUCAAUAUGAAUACCAACUGCUUACUGUAAUGGUCGUUGACGAUAAUCGUCGUGGUUGGCCGGUUGCCCAUCUAAUUACCAACAAGUCUGAUGCCAAUACACUCAAGUUUUUUUUUCAAACUUUAGAUGCUAGGCUAAAUAAUGAAGUACCACUGAGCACUGUGAUAACUGAUGAUGAUCCUGCACUGAUAAAUGCUAUAAAUGCAGGGUUUUCUCAGGAACUGAAGCAUAUAUUGUGCAAAUGGCAUGUCCUCAAGAACCUUGCAGAAAACCUAAGAGCCAAAGUCCCUCUUGAUUUAUUCAAUACGAUGUUGUCCGAAAUUUUAGUCAUAAUGAACACUGCGAGUAAAGGUUCAUUUUUGAAGUUAAAAGAAGAUUUCCGAAGCAAGUACGGAAAUAAUCCGGCUACCUCUGACUUUAUGUCAUACUUAGAGGACCAGUAUUGGAAUAGAGUAGAAAAGUGGUUGAUGUGUCACAGGCACUUCCCCCAUGGAGAAAUAAAUACAAUAGGAUAUCUUGACUCCUUUCAUAAUAGAUUGAAAACUGAGUACCUCAAGCGUAAAGUGAAUAAGAGACUAGAUGACCUCAUUCUUAUUCUGUACGAUAUUGAAAGGGAUGACCACUACACUCGGCUUAAGGAAGCUGAUGUUGGCUUUUCUGUUCAACAUCAAGAUAUUCUAGAAAGACACAAACGAGGCCUUUUAAUGAAAGACAAUAUGAUCGUGGAGCAAAUUGUAGAUAGGCUCUGGGAGAUAAAGUCUGUUGAUACCAAAAGUUGUGAAACAAAUUAUAUAGAACGCUGCAAGGAGUUAUGUAACCUUGAAAUGUGUUCUUCAAAGUGCACCGAAGCAGAGUGCCAUGGCCUAUGUUCCCAUAUUUUCUUAUGCAGCUGCUCUGACCACCAUCCUCUGUGCAAGCAUAUUCAUAAACUUCAGUCUUAUCUCACUAGAGGUGACCCUUUUGUUCCCUCUGAAGAAAGUUUUUACUUUCUUGAAACUGACAACAAUGGUGAAGAACUCCAUAGCGAUUCCGAGAGUGCUUUUGAGACCUCAUCAAACCCCUCUGAAAAAACAGAAAAUAUUUUUGAACAGAUGGCAAGCAAUAUCUCCGUUCUCCAACAGUUUUUAAAUGCAGCCAAAGAAAAUGCAGUCUCUGAGAAUACUGUCAUCCACGUGAAUUCUGUUUUAUCUGAUCUGGUAACUCGUUUAGAGGCUGAGAAACUUCAAAACUAA
RNAcentral lists this long non-coding RNA (2445 nucleotides) under Bemisia tabaci. RNAcentral's name for it is "lncRNA ENSSSA1UGG013011". The record is from RNAcentral. Lineage: Eukaryota; Metazoa; Arthropoda; Insecta; Hemiptera; Aleyrodidae.